This 440-nucleotide ribosomal RNA is filed under the name uncultured bacterium. RNAcentral's name for it is "partial 16S ribosomal RNA". It matches the Rfam family "Bacterial small subunit ribosomal RNA", at positions 338 to 795 of the family's 1533-position model. The record is from RNAcentral.
CCUACGGGUGGCAGCAGUGGGGAAUAUUGCACAAUGGGCGAAACCCUGAUGCAGCGACGCCGCGUGAGUGAAGAAGUAUUUCGGUAUGUAAAGCUCUAUCAGCAGGGAAGAAAAUGACGGUACCUGAUUAAGAAGCCCCGGCUAACUACGUGCCAGCAGCCGCGGUAAUACGUAGGGGGCAAGCGUUAUCCGGAUUUACUGGGUGGAAAGGGAGCGUAGACGGCAGCACAAGUCAGGAGUGAAAUGCCGGGGCUUAACCCCGGAACUGCUUUGGAAACUGUGCAGCUAGAGUGCAGGAGAGGUAAGUAGAAUUCCAGGUGUAGCGGUGAAAUGCGUAGAGAUUAGGAGGAAUACCAGUGGCGAAGGCGGCUUACUGGACUGUAACUGACGUUGAGGCUCGAAAGCGUGGGGAGCAAACAGGAUUAGAUACCCUAGUAGUC